AUGGCGUCUUCUUCUUCCUCCUCGCAGCACGAGGGAGUGCUUCCACUGAUCCCUUGCCCUGAUUGCAAAGACAAGGUGGUCACCUACAUGUCUCGCGCCGGAGCUCGCUUCUACAAGUGCGUUAGGAAAGAUGCUGGACUAUGCGGCUUCAUUAGAUCUACGGACACGUACCUGCCGGAGCUGACCAGAGCUGGGCUCAGCCAGCCUUACGCGCUUCACGCCGCCAUUGCUAGGCACUCGGGCUCUCCACUUCGGCAGAGGUACAGGCGGGGCGACAACAUCGAAGACCGCAUGCAACCAGAGAUCCAGCCAGCACAAGUGCACAUGGAGGCGCAGGUGCAGCAGUAG
RNAcentral lists this ribosomal RNA (348 nucleotides) under Triticum aestivum (bread wheat). RNAcentral describes it as "partial small subunit ribosomal RNA". The record is from RNAcentral. Lineage: Eukaryota; Viridiplantae; Streptophyta; Magnoliopsida; Poales; Poaceae.